GUGUGCGCUUCAGCAACACUUAUACUAAAAUGGAGAUGAUACAGAGAAGAUUUAGCAUGGCCCUUGCACAAAGAUGACGCACAAAUUUAUGAAGCGUGGCAUAUUUUU
This is a small nuclear RNA of Globicephala melas (long-finned pilot whale), 108 nucleotides long. The record is from RefSeq and is a predicted model, not a curated record. NCBI's taxonomy places the organism in Eukaryota, Metazoa, Chordata, Mammalia, Artiodactyla, Delphinidae.